Molecule: long non-coding RNA, 1614 nt
Filed under: Homo sapiens (human)
Lineage: Eukaryota; Metazoa; Chordata; Mammalia; Primates; Hominidae
Description: HSALNT0299350
Source: RNAcentral
ACAAACAAACAAACAAAAAUAUGGGAUUAACAAAUAACCAAGACCCUGGGAAAAAGAACAUCAAUAGGUUACACAACACGAUUAGAGGCAAUGGAAAAAAAAUUACAGAAUUUUUGAGUUGGAAGUGACUUCCCAGAUCAUGGUGCCUAACCUCAUGUACCUGAAGAGGACGGAGAGGGUCAGAGAAGUUAAGGUACCCGUCACUGGAAAAGAAAUGUAUCUAUUGACUUCCUCAUUCUACAGCUCCUCACCUCCUGCCUGCCUAAGCUCCAGUUGCAAGGAAGGGAGAUAGAGUGAGAAGAAUAAAAAUAAAGAAGUUGCUCAUCUCUUCAUUUUGCAUGUAAGUGAUGAUUGCCUUUCUUCUCUUAGCAAAUUGGCUAGUAUGGUCUAUGUUCAACAAGUAUUCCAUUUGCUACCUUCUCCCAGACACUAUUCGAAAUAUACACAUACAGUGAUCUUACAAUUAGCCCAUUCUCAUACAGGAAGAAAAUGCAAUCUUCAUGAAAAUCCCCUAACUCCACUUCAGACACUGAAGUUCACCUUUUUGAAGUGUACUGAGCCUGACAGCUAGGCCAGAAUCUUAGGAAAGUACCUCCAUUAGAAGGUUAACCUAGAGAAAGAAAAAGAAGUGCCAGGCUUUGCAGAAGAACAGGGGAACUGUGGCAUUGUGAAGGAUGUGGCUGAGUUCAGAGGGUCAUGAAGGAAUGGGAAAUGCUUUGGAAGAACUUGAGGAUGAGAUCUCCUGAUAAGGUGUGAUUGAAUUUUUUAAAGGAGGACCUUGAAGUUUGCACAGCAUGGUGACGGUGACACCAAAUGAAAAGAGGACUGAGAACAGACUGUAAGCAAUUCAGCCUGCCAAAAAUUCAGAUUGCUAAAUAAGGGAUACCAAUCAGAUGUUUUCUAUCUUCCCUGGAGAAACUAAGGAACUUCAAGUUUAAAAUGCCUCAUGAAGAAUUGGGAUAAAAUAUAAAGAAUUUCCUGAAGAAAGGGAGGAAGAUGAUUGUGUACUGAAUGAUUGCAAUAGAACAUCUGAAAAUGUAAAAUGAAAAGGAUAACUGAACUUUUCUAUGAAGAGCUUGAUUAUGGCCAUACAUUGAAUUAAUGAGCAUUCAGUGAGUCCACAGUUCUUUGUUGAGGGUCUCCUGCAUGCCAUACACUGUGCUACGUCCUGGGGCUCCAUAAAUUCUUUGUUAACAAAAUAAAAAUACCCCCAUACAGAGAAGCACUUUCAGAUACAUUACCUCAUCUCUAACAGAACACACAGUCAACAGAACCAUGCGGAGGCUGAUCAAUAUUCUAAACAAUAGUUUCAUAAAUACUGUCCCUAGACUCGUCUACUCACUGGGAGCUGCAGGGGUUGGUAUUCUAGCUAGCAAAUGAAACAAUCUGCAUACAUGCUUAAAUCAAGUUUGUUUAAAAUUAGAAAAUGGCAUAAUGUAUUCAAAAGUUUUUAUGCAGUAUUUGCAUGGAAUUUAAAAUAUGCUACAUGCUUUGAAUUAGGAGAGCAGAGCGAUGUGUAGCUCAUCUAUUGGUCUGAUCGAAUGUUUAAAAAUCAAAUUUUAGAGAGCUCUGUACUUAAAUAACUGUAAAAGAAAAUAAAAUCAGAAUGCAUAA